UACGGGAGGCAGCAGUGGGGAAUAUUGCACAAUGGGCACAAGCCUGAUGCAGCCAUGCCGCGUGUAUGAAGAAGGCCUUCGGGUUGUAAAGUACUUUUCAGUCGUGAGGAAGGUGUUAAGGUUAAUAACCUUAGCAAUUGACGUUAGCGACAGAAGAAGCACCGGCUAACUCCGUGCCAGCAGCCGCGGUAAUACGGAGGGUGCGAGCGUUAAUCGGAAUUACUGGGCGUAAAGGGCACGCAGGCGGUUAAUUAAGUUGGAUGUGAAAUCCCCGGGCUUAACCUGGGAAUGGCAUUCAAGACUGGUUAGCUAGAGUCUUGUAGAGGGGGUAGAAUUCCAUGUGUAGCGGUGAAAUGCGUAGAGAUGUGGAGGAAUACCGGUGGCGAAGGCGGCCCCUGGACAAAGGCUGACGCUCAUGUGCGAAAGCGUGGGGAGCAAAC
RNAcentral lists this ribosomal RNA (440 nucleotides) under uncultured bacterium. RNAcentral's name for it is "bacterial SSU rRNA". It matches the Rfam family "Bacterial small subunit ribosomal RNA", at positions 340 to 773 of the family's 1533-position model. The record is from RNAcentral.